This 608-nucleotide ribosomal RNA is filed under the name Steinernema sp. AS-2017. RNAcentral's name for it is "SSU rRNA". It matches the Rfam family "Eukaryotic small subunit ribosomal RNA", at positions 575 to 1188 of the family's 1831-position model. Lineage: Eukaryota; Metazoa; Nematoda; Chromadorea; Rhabditida; Steinernematidae. The record is from RNAcentral.
CGCGGUAAUUCCAGCUCUCAAAAUGUACUUAACCAUUGUUGCGGUUAAAAAGCUCGUAGUUGGAUCUACGCUGCGCGGAACGGUUCGUUCAUUGAGCGUUAACUGUUUCACGUGGCUCUCUUUUGUCGGUUUUCGGCUAGUGUCCUUAACGGGGUGUUAGUUGCGGCUGACGCUUUUACCUUGAAUAAAUUAGAGUGCUUAAAACAGGCGUUUAGCUUGAAUAUGCUAGCAUGGAAUAAUGGAAUAGGACUUUGGUUCGAUUUUAUUGGUUUUAUGAAUUGAAGUAAUGAUUAGUAGGAUCAAACGGGGGCAUCCGUAUUGAUACGUGAGAGGUGAAAUUCUGGGACCGUAGCAAGACGACCGACUGCGAAAGCAUUUGCCAAGAAUGUUUUCAUUAAUCAAGAACGAAAGUUAGGGGAACAAAAGCGAUCAGAUACCGCCCUAGUCCUAACCAUAAACUCUGCCCACUAGCGAUCCGUCGGCGGUUUUUUUGCCCUGAUGGGGAGCUUCCCGGAAACGAAAGUCUUCCGGUUCCGGGGGAAGUAUGGUUGCAAAGCUGAAACUUAAAGAAAUUGACGGAAGGGCACCACCAGGAGUGGAGCCUGCGG